AUGGCCCGAGUUCUCAUUGUCCGGAUGUAGCAUGAAACAGACUUCAUGAAAACCAAUGAUGUUACCAGCCUUGAUUUUCUCCUGCUGGAUGACACCAUAAGUAGCAAACUAAAUAUGAUUUCAUCCUGCUGUUGUGCUUAUUUUCUUAGAUAUGAGCACUUCAUGGUAUAUUAUAACACUUCAUAAUAUAUUCCUACAUAGGGAAAUUGGUUAACAGUUAAACUGAGUCCAGCAAUGUAUAUUUAUUGGUACCUAGAAAUGCUUUCAAUUAUGCUUUGGCGUACGAUUGGCUUACACUGUGUAGAUUAGAUAAGAUUGUAGUCAUCUGCCGGGGGUUAGUGAGCUUUCAAUUACCAUGUGUAUAUUACACAGGAUUGUAGGCAUCUGCAGACUCAACAAUCAGUUCCUUUUAUAUUAUUGCCUUAUCGUAUCUCAGGGUGACCUGCUGCACGCAAUUGUUCAUAAGAAAUUCAUCUGGAAAUUCAUCUAGAAGAGGGGAUGCUGUUGUGUCUUGACAAUUUGACAUUUGCCCCAGAAAAAAAAUAUGUUCCGCCCUGCCCAGAAUGACUACCGCGCCUACUUUAACUGGAAUACUGAUAUUACACCACUUGAAGCCUCCAGUGCGCCGAUUCCUCGCCACAAGUUCAAUUUCACUGAGAUUGAGAACCUUGCAGCUGCUAACACCAACAGUUACCUUACCGGUGACUUCAAUGAAUAUUACAUCUGUUGAAUCCCAAGCCGUGCUUAAAUCACCUAAUAUUUAAUUAUUGUUGUUUGCAGAUGUUGUUGGUGUGCUGACCAACCACACAAACUUGCAGCAGUUUAAGCGAAAUUCUGGCAAUGCAAGUUCCAUGUGUGAGCUAACACUGGAAAACUUAAGUGGUAUGAAGAUUAAGGUCUCACUAUGGGGUGAUUCCACUUCUGAGCUUACCCGGAACCUUGAAUUGCAUGAACUUAUUCCGCAGCCUGUUGUAGCUGUUGUUGCUGGUGUCUAUGUCAAGCAAUAUCUUGGCAAGGCGUCGCUCUCUUCAACUAAUGCGACUAAAAUUUACUUUGACCUCGAUAUUCCAGAAGAGCCAAACAUGCCGGAUGUAUUGCUUGAUAUACAAAAUUAACCCAAUUGGCUGAAUUUGCAAAAAAAACUAUCUUAAUUCCAUCCAUGCAUAUUAAAUUAACCCUUAUGUCGACUUGGCUGGGGAAAUAACUCCAUAAGAGCCAAACAUGCCGGAUGUAUUGCUUGAUGUACUUCCAGUUACCAAUCAGAAUCAGAAAAAGACGGUUAAUGACUUGCUACAGCACAUUGGAAAACCAAAGUUUACGCACAAAACAAUGUGCAAAGCAACAGCCACUCAAAUAAUAAAGAGUUGGUACUAUUUAAGUUGCACCAAUUGCAAUCAUGGGGUGAUGGAUUGUGACGGUGAACUUUGGUGCUCUAACUGUCAGAUCCAGAUUGAUAUACCAACACCAAGGUUCUCAAUUCGAUCAAGGGUGGAAGAUCCUACAGAGACUACUAUUUUUGAGGUGCCAGACUUUGAAAUCCAAAAUAUCCUGCGAUGCACGGCAACAGGACUGCUCUGUUUAGAAGAGGAAAACGGGAAAAUUUCCAUUGAUAAGGCGUUGAUGACAGUCUUAGGCGUGGAAAUUGAUUACUAGCUAACUAUUGACCAGUUUUACCAGAAUCAAGACUACAAGAUAUAGACGGUGGCAAGGAUGACUUACCCAUAUGCCUCAACAGACUGAUCUGGAUAUAGAGCGUUUAUGCAGGUUGCCCAGCAACAAACAUGCUUCAUCAUCAGCCGAACAUAACCCACAAAAGAAGGUCUGCAUAGGAAACAACUAAUCUGAAAGGGCGGCUUUUUGCUUUUCAUCGGACAUAUCAUCAAGUAUGUCGGAGUUUAUGGGGUUUUUGUUUUUUUGAUUUGCGUAGGAAUAAGUCAUUAUGGUGUUUGUCUAUUACUAAGCUUAGUCACUAAGCCUGAGUUUGUCUGUUAGAAUUUCAUUUCCUAUUUUUAGCUACAGUUGCCUACGUUUUAUUGUUAAGGUUUCUAAUGCUAUCAGUCAUUUAAUGUUUACCAUGAUUUUCAUUUAAACGUGAUUUAAGGGUAUUUGAUA
This is a long non-coding RNA of Papaver somniferum (opium poppy), 2112 nucleotides long. RefSeq lists it as uncharacterized. Lineage: Eukaryota; Viridiplantae; Streptophyta; Magnoliopsida; Ranunculales; Papaveraceae. The transcript has 7 exons. The record is from RefSeq and is a predicted model, not a curated record.